GCCGGGUUAGCUCAGCUGGUAGAGCACCUGAUUUGUAAUCAGGGGGUCGCGGGUUCGAACCCUGCACCCGGCACCA
This 76-nucleotide transfer RNA is filed under the name Acetobacteraceae bacterium. Its description in RNAcentral is "tRNA-Thr". It matches the Rfam family "tRNA". Rfam says of the family: Transfer RNA (tRNA) molecules are approximately 80 nucleotides in length. Their secondary structure includes four short double-helical elements and three loops (D, anti-codon, and T loops). Further hydrogen bonds mediate the characteristic L-shaped molecular structure. tRNAs have two regions of fundamental functional importance: the anti-codon, which is responsible for specific mRNA codon recognition, and the 3' end, to which the tRNAs corresponding amino acid is attached (by aminoacyl-tRNA synthetases). tRNAs cope with the degeneracy of the genetic code in two manners: having more than one tRNA (with a specific anti-codon) for a particular amino acid; and 'wobble' base-pairing, i.e. permitting non-standard base-pairing at the 3rd anti-codon position. Lineage: Bacteria; Pseudomonadati; Pseudomonadota; Alphaproteobacteria; Acetobacterales; Acetobacteraceae. The record is from RNAcentral.